RNAcentral lists this unclassified non-coding RNA (211 nucleotides) under Hevea brasiliensis (rubber tree). The record is from RNAcentral. Lineage: Eukaryota; Viridiplantae; Streptophyta; Magnoliopsida; Malpighiales; Euphorbiaceae.
CCGUUGACUCUCAUAUCGUCAAGCUGAAAUCGCUCAACGCGGAUGUGCUCGUGAUCUUCACGACACCGAAAUUCGGCGCACAGACCAUCAAGAAGGUCGGCGAACUCGGCUGGAAGCCCACCAUGAUCAUCGCCAACGUCAGUGCUUCGACGGCAACGGUGAUGAAACCUGCAGGUUUCGAUAACGCCCAGGGCGUCAUUUCCGCAGCCUA